AACCCUUCCACGAUUCCACAGCACAAGGAGUUUUUGUGGUGUAAACACACCUGGAUUUUUCACCCCUCUUUUAAACUGGAAGAAGCUGAACCCAGGUGAACGACAUCGAGUUCCUCUCUGGCAGCUCUCUGAACCCAGCUGGCUGCAAGCACAUCCACCAGCAGCAGCACAACCUCAGAAGAGAAAGAAAAGCCUGGAGGUGACACACAGUUGCUGUAUCUCUUGGAUGCUGUGCAGAACGGAAUCAGGCAGCCAAACCUCAGGUUCACCUUCUCCCUGACCCUCUACGUUGCUCGUGUGGCGCAGCAGAUCCUGAAGCCAGAGGAGCACAUGUACAUAAAGGUAAACAGAUUCCUUCUGUCACACCAGUAUUUGGACCUGAGGAAAGUACCAGGUUUUUUCCAGCUUUUCUACAGUUUUGAUUUUGAGUACAAAACAGAGCGUGAGUGGAUCCUCAGAUUUCUUGGGGAAGGGCUGCGUGACAAACAUUGCUAUGAGCUUUAUGACUACCAGAGGAUUUUCCAGGUCGUUCUUUCCUUUUUCAACAGUCCUUUGUGUGAUGAAGGCUCCCAGAGUCGUAUUCUGGAGAUAUUACAAAGUGCUGCCCGUGUCACCAGAGCUGCCUAUUUUUAUUUUUUUUUAAUAAUUGUUUAAUUUUUUCUAUUUUU
Molecule: long non-coding RNA, 668 nt
Organism: Hirundo rustica (Barn swallow)
Lineage: Eukaryota; Metazoa; Chordata; Aves; Passeriformes; Hirundinidae
Exons: 5
Source: RefSeq, a predicted model, not a curated record